This 726-nucleotide ribosomal RNA is filed under the name uncultured Agaricomycetes. Its description in RNAcentral is "eukaryotic LSU rRNA". The stretch from base 254 to 407 matches the Rfam family "5.8S ribosomal RNA". Lineage: Eukaryota; Fungi; Basidiomycota; Agaricomycetes. The record is from RNAcentral.
CUUGGUCAUUUAGAGGAAGUAAAAGUCGUAACAAGGUUUCCGUAGGUGAACCUGCGGAAGGAUCAUUACCGAGUUCGAAACGGGCUGUCGCUGGCCUCCCUCGGGGGGCAUGUGCACGCUCGGCUCGCUCCAUCACACCUGUGCACCUUUGGUAGUCUGGCUCGAUUAGACCACUGGGCGUCGAGCCUCGCUAUGUUUUUAUACACUACGUCAGUCUCAGAAUGUAAUGCAUGCUAUAAACGCAUUUUAAUACAACUUUCAACAACGGAUCUCUUGGCUCUCGCAUCGAUGAAGAACGCAGCGAAAUGCGAUAAGUAAUGUGAAUUGCAGAAUUCAGUGAAUCAUCGAAUCUUUGAACGCACCUUGCGCUCCUUGGCAUUCCGAGGAGCAUGCCUGUUUGAGUCUCAUGAAUCUCUCAAGCCAGCCGGGUCUUACCGCCCGACUGGAUUGGACUUGGAGGCUGCCGGUCUGACCGGCUCCUCUUAAAUGCAUUAGCUGGAACCUGAACGCUAUCUACGGUGUGAUAAUUAUCUGCGCCGCACGAAUGGCGCCUCGGUGUUACCCCGUUCACGCGGUCGUGUAGCCUGGGGGCAUGGAACCGCUUCUAAUCGUCCGCGGACGUCGCGACACCUCCACCGGGAGGCCGGCGUGGACAAUUCAUCUGACAUCUGAGCUCAAAUCAGGUAGGACUACCCGCUGAACUUAAGCAUAUCAAUAAGCGGAGGA